This 417-nucleotide ribosomal RNA is filed under the name uncultured bacterium. Its description in RNAcentral is "bacterial SSU rRNA". It matches the Rfam family "Bacterial small subunit ribosomal RNA", at positions 769 to 1184 of the family's 1533-position model. The record is from RNAcentral.
UUAACCGGAUUAGAUACCCUGGUAGUCCACGCCGUAAACGUUGGGCGCUAGAUGUGGGGACCAUUCCACGGUUUCCGUGUCGCAGCUAACGCAUUAAGCGCCCCGCCUGGGGAGUACGGCCGCAAGGCUAAAACUCAAAGGAAUUGACGGGGGCCCGCACAAGCGGCGGAGCAUGCGGAUUAAUUCGAUGCAACGCGAAGAACCUUACCAAGGCUUGACAUAUACGAGAACGGGCUAGAAAUAGUCAACUCUUUGGACACUCGUAAACAGGUGGUGCAUGGUUGUCGUCAGCUCGUGUCGUGAGAUGUUGGGUUAAGUCCCGCAACGAGCGCAACCCUCGUUCUAUGUUGCCAGCACGUAAUGGUGGGAACUCAUAGGAGACUGCCGGGGUCAACUCGGAGGAAGGUGGGGAUGACG